AUUCGAGAGCUUUUAUUUUACAGGUUUGCUUGAUAAGGUGAUUUUAAAGAUGGCAACUUAAAAAUGGAAGCCCUCUCACUUGCAGGGAGAGCAACCUUAUUACAAUUUAUGUUGUCAUUAAUUCCUUAAGAUACAUUCUGUAUCUUGUGUUCCUGUUUCUUUAUCUAUUUUGUAUUAGUUGGAAAUGGAAUUCCGAGCAUUUCUAUGGGGC
RNAcentral lists this long non-coding RNA (211 nucleotides) under Elaeis guineensis (African oil palm). Its description in RNAcentral is "long non-coding RNA (EGUI_LNC056067)". Lineage: Eukaryota; Viridiplantae; Streptophyta; Magnoliopsida; Arecales; Arecaceae. The record is from RNAcentral.